GAUGAACGCUGGCGGCGUGCCUAAUACAUGCAAGUCGAGCGAACGGACGAGAAGCUUGCUUCUCUGAUGUUAGCGGCGGACGGGUGAGUAACACGUGGAUAACCUACCUAUAAGACUGGGAUAACUUCGGGAAACCGUAGCUAAUACCGGAUAAUAUUUUGAACCGCAUGGUUCAAAAGUGAAAGACGGUCUUGCUGUCACUUGUAGAUGGAUCCGCGCUGCAUUAGCUAGUUGGUAAGGUAACGGCUUACCAAGGCAACGAUGCAUAGCCGACCUGAGAGGGUGAUCGGCCACACUGGAACUGAGACACGGUCCAGACUCCUACGGGAGGCAGCAGUAGGGAAUCUUCCGCAAUGGGCGAAAGCCUGACGGAGCAACGCCGCGUGAGUGAUGAAGGUCUUCGGAUCGUAAAACUCUGUUAUUAGGGAAGAACAUAUGUGUAAGUAACUGUGCACAUCUUGACGAUACCUAAUCAGAAAGCCACGGCUAACUACGUG
Molecule: ribosomal RNA, 497 nt
Filed under: uncultured bacterium
Lineage: Bacteria
Description: partial 16S ribosomal RNA
Rfam family: Bacterial small subunit ribosomal RNA
Source: RNAcentral